This 78-nucleotide ribosomal RNA is filed under the name Clostridium perfringens. RNAcentral's name for it is "partial 16S ribosomal RNA". It matches the Rfam family "Bacterial small subunit ribosomal RNA", at positions 1 to 78 of the family's 1533-position model. Lineage: Bacteria; Bacillati; Bacillota; Clostridia; Eubacteriales; Clostridiaceae. The record is from RNAcentral.
UAAAUUGAGAGUUUGAUCCUGGCUCAGGAUGAACGCUGGCGGCGUGCUUAACACAUGCAAGUCGAGCGAUGAAGUUUC